UGAAAUUCUUGUGGAGUUAUACUGUGCUCUGAGUGCAAACCUAUUUUCAUAAGAGGACAGUUUUGAAUUGAAAUAGCUGCUUAUGACCCUGGAAGGAAGGCUCACGACGUGCUGACAGGCACAUGUCCCGGCAGUGACUUCACUCAGCCACAGGUUUGCAAAACUGCUCGCAGCUCAAGACACCUGGGGCCAAGGGCUGGUGUUUGCAUUUUGGGGGGACCACAAUUCCCUUUGACAAUCUGAUUUUACUUUUGAGGUUCUGCAUAUUCUCAGAAGUCCAUUAUUAGACCAGAGUAGAAAUAUGAAGGAUUGAAGAAUAGCAAUUGAACAGAAAACACGAACACACUCCCUUUUUUUCAGAAGAGUAAACUAUAACCUUAGCAAACAUUAGAAAAAUCAAAUGAAGAGAAGGUCACUCACUCUCCAAGGAGAAUGAUUGAGUAUUUUAGGAGUUAGUUUCCUCCUUUCUUUAAAAUGCAUCGUGGGGAUUCUGGGCUUCUCGCUGUCCCCUGGAGUCAUCUGGACAGCAUGGCCUUUGCAUCCCUGGCCCACUUGGACCCCAGUCAUCUAAAACGCAACGUGGAGUGUGGUCCUGCCAGAAGUUACUUAUGGGCUUCUUUCAGCACUGGCAACAGUUGGGAUUCGUCCCAGGAAAGAAAAGGAGAGGCUGGAAGGAGGACUACUGUGGGGUGAUGUCAAUGACCCCGGAUUAUAAACACAGCUCUGAAAGCUUGCUUGUGGGCAGCUGUUGAGCAGAAAACAACUCUGUCUCCUAAGGGACUCCUCAGCAUUGGGGGCGUUCAGCCAGAGUGCUCUGCUUCCUCACAGCGGCAGAUUUGCUCUUGCCUCUGUGCAGAUUCAAUUCCUGCCACCAAUCUCCUUUCCUUCCCACUCGGGUUCCUCAUCGGAUUGGACUCACAUGACAAAGAGGCCUGUGGCAAGGGUUAUACGGUUGUGGUUGGCAGAGGAAUGAUCAGAGAGUAGCAAAGCUGUGGGGCCUUAGAAAUGAUUUAAUUUAGUGCCUGAUUGUACUGCACGAAGUAAUUGCCCCAAGACCUCACAGCGGGCCAACAGGCUAAGGACCCUGGCAUUUCUUUAUGUCUCAUGCAGCUGGUGAAAAGAUGGAUGACGCAGUUUAUGUGAAAAUGCUCUGUAAGUUACAGAGUAUAGGGCCGGAGAUUUAGCUCAGUGGUUCCACAGCCUGCCUUGCAAACGCAAGGACCCAAGUUCGAUCCCCGGUACCAAAAAAAAAAAAAGUUACAGAGUAUAAGCA
Long non-coding RNA from Heterocephalus glaber (naked mole-rat), 1273 nucleotides. The record is from Ensembl. NCBI's taxonomy places the organism in Eukaryota, Metazoa, Chordata, Mammalia, Rodentia, Bathyergidae.